Molecule: ribosomal RNA, 206 nt
Filed under: uncultured bacterium
Lineage: Bacteria
Description: partial 16S ribosomal RNA
Rfam family: Bacterial small subunit ribosomal RNA
Source: RNAcentral
AUAACCCUCCGAAAGGAGAGCUAAUACAGCAUGAGACCACGGCUUCGUUGAAGCUGCGGCCAAAGCAGGCCUCUACACGUAAGCUUGCGCUUGAGGAUGAGUCUGCGGCCCAUCAGCUAGUUGGUAGGGUAAUGGCCUACCAAGGCUAAGACGGGUAGCUGGUCUGAGAGGAUGAACAGCCACACUGGAACUGAGACACGGUCCAG